Molecule: long non-coding RNA, 783 nt
Organism: Salvia splendens (bonfire salvia)
Lineage: Eukaryota; Viridiplantae; Streptophyta; Magnoliopsida; Lamiales; Lamiaceae
Exons: 2
Source: RefSeq, a predicted model, not a curated record
UCGGCCUUUCUAUAAAUGGAGAUUGGAAGGAGGAAUGAGGUAUGGCUGGACAUUUAGCUAUCUCCUAGAGUUGAAAUCAGAAAGCUCACUCCAGUUUCUUCAUUUCCGUAGAACAUACUUGGUUCUGGGUUUUAAUCGUGGUUGGGUGGUAGUUUUUUAAUUCGUAUUUCAGGCUGUGUAACACCGUCCCGAGAAGGGGAAAUCACAGUAUGAGUUCUCCCGUUCGGACAGGUUGAUCAAUUAGAGUUUAAAAGUUUAGUUAAGCUUAGCAAGUGGAUCAUUUUAGUUAGUUUAGUUCCUCAGUUCAUUUAGUCAAGCAGUUUAACUUAACCCACUUUGAAUCCGUGGCAGCAGCCAUUCGAAAUUUUUCCUUAACAAAUGUAGAACACAUCGUCUCUGUGGGAUUCGACCCUUACUUCCCUUUACUAAAUCAUAGUAUUGUGGGUUAAAGUCUUGAAAGCUCCGAGUUCCUCCGUUUGCGCACCCAAGGGAACAUGAGUAGGUUGCACUAAGUCAACUUGAUCAGUUAGAUUUGGCACUGGACCGGUUCACAGGCACUCGCAGGUAGAAGAAGACGUCACCCAGCUGGAUCAGUUAGAGACUUCGACUUGAUCAAUCCACGACAAUCAACUCACAAUUCAGUUAACGUAGAAGGGAACCAAUCGACAACACAGGAAUCUCCAGAAGCAGCUUUCACACGGGUUUUAAAAAAUGUAAAGAAAUGUGGGUUGAGUAUGUUAGUGAAAUAUGAGUCUCACUUAUAUAUAUUAGUUUUAAAAUAAA